GCAUUGGUGGUUUAGUGGUAAAAUUAGCCGUUGCCAUGGUUCUGAUGAGUCUUGUUUCGGCUAGCCCCGGGUUCGAUUCCCGGCCGAUGCA
RNAcentral lists this transfer RNA (91 nucleotides) under Dothistroma septosporum NZE10. Its description in RNAcentral is "tRNA-Gly for anticodon GCC". It matches the Rfam family "tRNA". Rfam says of the family: Transfer RNA (tRNA) molecules are approximately 80 nucleotides in length. Their secondary structure includes four short double-helical elements and three loops (D, anti-codon, and T loops). The record is from Rfam by way of RNAcentral. Lineage: Eukaryota; Fungi; Ascomycota; Dothideomycetes; Mycosphaerellales; Mycosphaerellaceae.